AACGAACGCUGGCGGCAUGCCUAACACAUGCAAGUCGAACGAGACCUUCGGGUCUAGUGGCGCAUGGGUGCGUAACGCGUGGGAACCUGCCCUUAGGUUCGGAAUAACUCCCCGAAAGGGGUGCUAAUACCGGAUAAUGUCUUCGGACCAAAGAUUUAUCGCCUUUGGAUGGGCCCGCGUUGGAUUAGCUAGUUGGUAGGGUAAAAGCCUACCAAGGCGACGAUCCAUAGCUGGUCUGAGAGGAUGAUCAGCCACACUGGGACUGAGACACGGCCCAGACUCCUACGGGAGGCAGCAGUGGGGAAUAUUGGACAAUGGGCGAAAGCCUGAUCCAGCAAUGCCGCGUGAGUGAUGAAGGCCUUAGGGUUGUAAAGCUCUUUUACCCGGGAUGAUAAUGGCAGUACCGGGAGAAUAAGCUCCGGCUAACUCCGUG
Molecule: ribosomal RNA, 433 nt
Filed under: uncultured bacterium
Lineage: Bacteria
Description: partial 16S ribosomal RNA
Rfam family: Bacterial small subunit ribosomal RNA
Source: RNAcentral